GCUUGUCUCAAAGAUUAAGCCAUUCACGCCUAAGUAUAAAUUUCAUAUUGUGAAACUGCGAGUGGCUCAUUAUAUCAGUUAUAGUUUAUUUGAUAGCCCCUUACUACUUGGAUGACCGUAGUAAUUCUAGGGCUAAUACUUUUAUCAAUACCCUUCUCGGGUAGUAUUUAUUAGAUUGAAACCAACCCCUUCGGGGUGAUGUGGUGAGUCAUAAUAAGUUUACGAAUCGCAUGACUAUGUCGGCGAUGGAUCAUUCAAGUUUCUGCUCUAUCAGCUUUGGAUGGUAGGGUAUUGGCCUACCACGGCUUUAACGGGUAACGGAGGAUUAGGGUUUGAUUCCGGAGAGGGAGCCUGAGAGACAGCUACCAUAUCCAAGGAAGGCAGCAGG
This 388-nucleotide ribosomal RNA is filed under the name Gomphonema parvulum. Its description in RNAcentral is "partial small subunit ribosomal RNA". It matches the Rfam family "Eukaryotic small subunit ribosomal RNA", at positions 30 to 432 of the family's 1831-position model. Lineage: Eukaryota; Bacillariophyta; Bacillariophyceae; Cymbellales; Gomphonemataceae. The record is from RNAcentral.